CGCCUUGUCGGACCCCUGAGAAGCCCCCACCGCCUCCGUGCUCCUACUGCGGCCGCCAGCGCCGGGCCCGCAGUGAGGAGGAGAACCUCAUUUUCCUCAACACAGAUCUAAGGGGACACCGCCUCACUUUGAGACAACUUGAGGCUGCGUCAGUGCUCUUUCUCUUCAAACUUCUUUAACAUGCCUUGGCUUAGUUGUUCUGCUUGAUUUUCCAAAAGAAGAACCUUCUCUGGAUAAGGCAGAGGAUAGUGAAGGGAGGAUUUAACCUUGUACUGUUGUUAUACAAUUCAAUAUUGAAGCGAGAGAUUCUCCAGAACUUGCCCAGAAGCCAAGACGUCUGGAAAGGAUCUCAGCCUCUGUCAGCCUGCAGCUUGGGAAGAGUGAUUCACAGAGCCUGACUGUCCACUGCUGCUAAACCAUACACUGGCCUUGGCUCACACAUCUGACUGAACUGUCUCCUAUGACUAACUGCCUCUCUUUCUUCAGCCUUGCAAGUUUCCUGGGAGUCCUGGGAGUGGACUUCACAUAUAAAAGGGGACUCUGGGAGACCUAGUUCCUGGCUUCUCUUCUGGAAGUCAGGGAAGAGUAUAGGAAGGAGUGGCCACAGUGCCCAACUGACAAUUGACAAUUUCACCAAAGAUCAUCAUUGACCCUGACAAGACUCAUUUCGGUAUAUAAUAUGGGAAAAGAAACCAGACUGCAACAGGCUGAGAAUGACCCAGGGAAGAGAAAACGGAGAAAUUAACUGCAGCUGAGUUUCUGGAGGACUGCAAUUUAGUAUGUUCAAAGAAUAGUCCAAGAAGCCGCUCCGGACCCUCAGCAUUAAGACGAAGGAGGGGGCAAACAGGUGAGAAAAUCGAGGCAACAAGAGGUUGGUUAACGUGCCCAAGAUCAGAUCGCACAGCGGUAUAAUAGGAUGGAAAACUCCUAUCACAUAAUGAACGUUAAGUGAAAAAAAUUAGUAUCCAAAACUGUAAGUCUGAUGUCUCAUUCUUUUUAUAAUUUAAGUAGUUUAUAAAUACCCUCAUUAUUAGCCAUAUUUCUGAGCACUUCAUAUGUAGAGUGCACUUUACAGAACACUGUCAUGUAACCCUCA
Molecule: long non-coding RNA, 1096 nt
Filed under: Homo sapiens (human)
Lineage: Eukaryota; Metazoa; Chordata; Mammalia; Primates; Hominidae
Description: HSALNT0340554
Source: RNAcentral